CAAGGGGUCCGACGGUCUUCUUAGAGGGACAGGCGGCGGCCAGCCGCACGAGAGUGAGCAAUAUCAGGUCUGUGAUGCCCUUAGAUGUUCUGGGCCGCACGCGCGCCACAAUGAAGGAAUCAAAGUGACCCCUAUCCGAAAGGACCGGGAAAUCAUUGAACCUCCUUCGUGUUAGGGAUUGGGGAUUGCAAUUAUUUCCCAUGAACGAGGAAUUCCUAGUAA
Molecule: ribosomal RNA, 222 nt
Filed under: Petrobius brevistylis
Lineage: Eukaryota; Metazoa; Arthropoda; Insecta; Archaeognatha; Machilidae
Description: partial 18S ribosomal RNA
Rfam family: Eukaryotic small subunit ribosomal RNA
Source: RNAcentral